UCACCAGGGUGCACAGAGUCAGCAAAGCUGAGACCUUUCCCACCUUUGCAGAGCGGCACUCUCCAUGUUUUUUGGUGGUGGUGGCUUUCCCAUCCCUUUACGGCCAUUUGUAAUGGCUUCCAACUAUUCCAGCAAGACAAUGAGCGCCCUUUUCUUUAUUCUUCUAUUGUAUGGUAAAAAACUGGUGUCCAAAGUUGCACUGACAUAAAUAUUGCCCAAUUAGCCUAUUUGGGUGUAAACUUUUCCCAUUUUCUGGAUUAUUUCCAAAGGGUAUACUCUCCAAGUUGGCAGGGUCAGAGGGAUGAACAUUUUACACCUUGACUGCUUUUGUGAGCUUUUGUUUUUGUACUGGCUCUUGAUGCGAUUCAUCCCCAAGGAGCUUGACUUGACUGCUUAGCAAGUAAGGCAAAAACAGGAAGAAGAGGAGCAGGCCCUUGCCGGCCAAGUAUAACUCCGCCAUUCAUUGAGACCCAUGAUCCAGUCUUCUAAUUCCACUUCAGGGUUUGGGUGGCAAACAAGUUUUUGAGAAUGGUGAUAUUGUAAAAAGAAUUAUUGAAGAGAAUGCUGACUUGGGGUCAAAUGUAUGAGAGGGAGCAGAUGAAGUUAGGAGAGAGUCGUGGCAGGGGGGUGACAAGGUAGAGGCCAGCCUUUGAAACUUAGAAAGACUCUCAAAAACCACUGGAUAGAGCCCAGUGGUGGACGCCAGUUUAACCCCCAGUGCAGGCAGGAGGGGAGGGUGAUAAGAAUGACUCUGGAUGGUGUAUUGAAACUCAGAAUGUUAAAUCAUUUGUUUUGGGGAAUUAGUGAACUUUAUAACUAAUGUUUGCUCACCACUGAGUUCUGACCCAACUUAAGUUUAAGUGGCGCUGACUUGGCCUACCUUGGGAUUUAAGGGCUGGGGAGCUGGGUGUGAUGGUGCACACCUGUAAUCCCAGCAGCUCAGGAGGCUGAGUAAGGAGGAUUGCAAAUUCAAAACCAGCCUCAGCAAAAGUGAGGCGCAAAACAACUCAGUGAGACCCUGUCUCUAAAUACAAAAAAGGGCUGGGGAUGUGGCUCAGUGGUUGAGUGCCCCUGAGUUCAAUCCCCAGUGCUAAGAAAAAAAGAGGCACUGCUGGCUCAGUGGUUAAGCACCCCUGGGUUCAGUUCACAGUACUAAAAACAAAAACAAGCCAUUGAUAAGUGUGAGAACUACUUCUACAAGUCCACCC
Molecule: long non-coding RNA, 1208 nt
Filed under: Marmota monax (woodchuck)
Lineage: Eukaryota; Metazoa; Chordata; Mammalia; Rodentia; Sciuridae
Source: RNAcentral